This 428-nucleotide ribosomal RNA is filed under the name uncultured bacterium. RNAcentral's name for it is "bacterial SSU rRNA". It matches the Rfam family "Bacterial small subunit ribosomal RNA", at positions 33 to 507 of the family's 1533-position model. The record is from RNAcentral.
ACGCUGGCGGCAUGCCUAACACAUGCAAGUCGAACGAGACCUUCGGGUCUAGUGGCGCACGGGUGCGUAACGCGUGGGAAUCUGCCCUUGGGUUCGGAAUAACUCAGAGAAAUUUGAGCUAAUACCGGAUGAUGACGUAAGUCCAAAGAUUUAUCGCCCAAGGAUGAGCCCGCGUAAGAUUAGCUAGUUGGUGGGGUAAAGGCCUACCAAGGCGACGAUCUUUAGCUGGUCUGAGAGGAUGAUCAGCCACACUGGGACUGAGACACGGCCCAGACUCCUACGGGAGGCAGCAGUGGGGAAUAUUGGACAAUGGGCGAAAGCCUGAUCCAGCAAUGCCGCGUGAGUGAUGAAGGCCUUAGGGUUGUAAAGCUCUUUUACCAGGGAUGAUAAUGACAGUACCUGGAGAAUAAGCUCCGGCUAACUCCGUG